CCCGCCCCCCCCGCCCCCCCCCGGCCCCCCCGGCCCCCCCGGCCUCUGAAGCGAGGCUGCGGAAGGAGCAGAUCGCCUGGGUCUUUGAGGUGACGGACAGGCUGUCGACCAUCGACCAGAUCCCCAAGAGGAGAGCGCUGAGCUUCGGCAGUCGCUUCCUCCGCCAGAACCACUCCGACUGGGUGCAGCAGCACGGAGGCUGGGAAGGAGUGCUUCCGGUUAAAGGUGAACGUGGCCUCACCUGUACGUCAACAGACCUGUCCUGAGAGCAACAACGUUCUCUCUGUUCCUACUCAAUCUUUAUAACAACAUGACCUUUUGUAAUUAUAGAGGCCAAUCUUUUAAAUGACAAUUUGUUAAAUUAUGUGUUCUCAUAAUGUUAUCUAAUUUGUUAAUAAUGUACCCCUAUAUUAUGUGUUUUGCGACCUAUUUUUGUAUCCAACAUUAUUGUACACCGAUGUGAUCGGUUGUUUUGUUUUUGUUUCUGUAUAGAAGUGCAUUCUGGGUCAUUGACCGUUAGUUAAGACUUAGCACAUGCCAUGGCUGCUGAUGAUGUACCGAAUAUGAAAACGCAUCACAUUUGUACCUUACAGUUCUGAUUUAACUGUCUCAACAAGAAUAUUUUAGACUGGACUUAGAGAUGCUGUUUGUGUAUGUCGUGCAGAGUUUAUUAGUUUUAAAAAAUUGAACCAAAAUUGUUUUCCAUUAAUGUUUUGCAUUUUAUUCAUUUUUUCUUUUUUCAAUUGUAUUACAAAUAAUAAACAGCAGUGCUUUUUA
This is a long non-coding RNA of Gadus morhua (Atlantic cod), 777 nucleotides long. RefSeq lists it as uncharacterized. The transcript has 2 exons. The record is from RefSeq and is a predicted model, not a curated record. NCBI's taxonomy places the organism in Eukaryota, Metazoa, Chordata, Actinopteri, Gadiformes, Gadidae.